AAGACCUUGCGCUUUUGGAGCGGCCGAUGCCUGAUUAGCUUGUUGGUAAGGUAAAAGCUUACCAAGGCUUCGAUCAGUAGCUGGUCUGAGAGGACGACCAGCCACACUGGGACUGAGACACGGCCCAGACUCCUACGGGAGGCAGCAGUGGGGAAUUUUGGACAAUGGGGGCAACCCUGAUCCAGCCAUGCCGCGUGAGUGAAGAAGGCCUUCGGGUUGUAAAGCUCUUUCAGCCGGAACGAAACGGUUACGGUUAAUACCCRUGAYUACUGACGGUACCGGAAGAAGAAGCACCGGCUAACUACGUGCCAGCAGCCGCGGUAAUACGUAGGGUGCGAGCGUUARUCGGAAUUACUGGGCGUAAAGCGUGCGCAGGUGGUUUUGUAAGUCAGAUGUGAAAGCCCCGGGCUCAACCUGGGAACU
Molecule: ribosomal RNA, 423 nt
Filed under: uncultured bacterium
Lineage: Bacteria
Description: bacterial SSU rRNA
Rfam family: Bacterial small subunit ribosomal RNA
Source: RNAcentral